Molecule: non-coding RNA, 1863 nt
Organism: Phascolarctos cinereus (koala)
Lineage: Eukaryota; Metazoa; Chordata; Mammalia; Diprotodontia; Phascolarctidae
Source: RefSeq, a predicted model, not a curated record
UAGAAAUCCCUUCCCCUGCUCAGAAAACCCUGGAUAUUUUGAAAACAGAUUCAGAUGUCCUUUCCCACAGAAAAGGGAGAAAGCUUGCAUCAAGGUGUGUGUGUGUGUGUGUGUGUGUGUGUGUGUGUGUGUGUGUGUGUGUGUGUAUACCGAGCUUCAGAGAUGGAGUUUGAACACUGUCCUCUGUUUCUUAGUAAACACUGCAGUAUCAUUUUCUCCCUCACCUUCAUUUUCUCCUUGACACAGGAACUGUUUGCGUCAUCUGGAAAAAUCAAGACUCUCACGUUGGCAGGCAGCUGCCCUUGGAAGCCCAGGGAUGGGAUUUUUCCAGGGCCAGAAGACAGAAAGUUCAACUGCAUGAUAUCUACUUCCUGUCUCCCAAUGUCAUGGGCACAGGAAGGGAUAAUGGUAGUCAUUCACAACAUUUGCUAUGGAAACAAGUGACCAGCCAUGCAAGAGGUGAUGACCAUUACUUCCACAAAGGCUAAGUAAGCACCAGAGUGGGCACUAGCCUUCUCCAGUUGACCGAGAAGUAGAAGAAAUCACACUGGGUGCACACACUUGCACCCUGAGCUGCGCUGACUCUACUUGCCCCGAUCAACAGGACAGAAAUGAUUGCUCACCCAGCUUCAUGUGCCACCAUAUGGAAUGAAGACAAUUACUGUCUACUCAGUUUCAGAAUUGGGGAAAGAAAUUGCACGUGCAGACAUGGCUAUAUUAUGCUUUUUUUUACCCCCAGCUAUUUCUUUAUGUCCUUUGGCCCUUUCAGCAGAAGUCCUCUCCCUUCCUACUCAACCCCACCCCAUAUCCACAGUCAAAACUACAAUCAGGCUUAUCUUAGCACUAAAGCCAAGCAAAAAAUACCCAAGUGCUGUAGAAACACUUUAUCCCAAAAGACAUCUUUCUUACAACUCCAAUGAUAUCUUAAUCAAUGAUGACUGGAAGUCUCCUUGUGAAAAUGUCAUGUCUGUCCUUUGAAAAACACACUAUCUAAUUGAAAAGGUCCAAGAUUCUGGACCAAUCCCUGUGACUAGCCUUUAGCUCAGGGGUGGGGAGCCUGCCUUGGGUGUGGCCUUUUGACUGAGUCCAAGUUUUGCAGAACAAAUCCUUUUAUUAGGGGGAUUUGUUCUGUGAAGUUUGGAACUAGUCAAAGGGCCUUAGCUGAGGACCUAGAGGGCCAUUUGUGGCCUCAAGGCUUCAGGUUCCCCACCCUUGCUUUAGUGUAAACCCUAGGAGGCAAAUUUGAUAAUAAAGACUUCAGAGACUAACUCAAGAGAAGUUUAUACAGGCAUAGUUCUUUGCAUCUGUUGAGGAUGUCACACCAUCUCUCAAAUCCAUCUUGGAAAAUUCCUAUAUAAGGUAGAUGUUCUAAGAGAUCCCCUCCCCACACAUGCAAACAGAAAAAAAAACCACAUACAUAUCUUGGUUCAUCAGGAACCUUUUAAUUUGGGACAGACUACCCCAUCUGAGAUGAAUAUGAAAAGCCUUAAGCUUCCACUCACAGGGCUCUGCUGUGGACCUGUCUGCUUUGGGAGAGAUGCAGUGUGUUCCCACCUCCUUAGCUUUUCCAAUGUUGACUCAACUCAUUGACUGAACCUCUUUUUCUCAAGAGGAAGCAGGGCAUGGUAGAAAGAGUAUUCCUAUUCCAUUUGCAGUCACAGGUCCUGAGUAUGAAUGUGUUGUGCUCUAUAUGAUCUUUGUAACCUUGGAUAAGUUAGAAAACCUCUCUGGGCCUCAGUUUUCACAUGUGCAGAAUGAGGUAGUUGCACUAGGUUACCUAUAUAGUUGCUUCCAACUCUAAAUCUAUGUUUCUGUCACCUAUCCCCUGUUCUAUAUCAAUAAACUCUCUACCUGUCGGUAUCA